This 77-nucleotide transfer RNA is filed under the name Bifidobacterium samirii. RNAcentral describes it as "Bifidobacterium sp. 2033B tRNA-Met". It matches the Rfam family "tRNA". Rfam says of the family: Transfer RNA (tRNA) molecules are approximately 80 nucleotides in length. Their secondary structure includes four short double-helical elements and three loops (D, anti-codon, and T loops). The record is from RNAcentral. Lineage: Bacteria; Bacillati; Actinomycetota; Actinomycetes; Bifidobacteriales; Bifidobacteriaceae.
GGGGCCGUAGCUCAGUCGGUUAGAGCGAGCGACUCAUAAUCGCCAGGUCCAGGGUUCAAGCCCCUGCGGCCCUACCC